AGCUUUGGUUUCUCCGUCCUUCAAAGUUCAAACUACAUCUCCCUCAUCUCAUCCUUCCUUUACUAUUCCGGUGGUAGGCGCAACCAAGUAGCGGCGUCAAUCACCAACUACCCGUCAGCAAGCACGGUGGUUGUUCGAUCUACUCAUUCAGUCACUUUUAAGUACUCCUGGUAGAGAUGACAUUGCCGCCGGACGUACGCAGCGUUUGCUUUGGGUUACUGUCAGAUUUCUUGUCGCCGCCCGAUCUCGUUGAUGCAAUUGCAAAUUCGACCGUAAUUUCUCUGUCUAAAUUAUCUAAUAUCGUCUCCUGUCUAGCAUGUCUGACGAGUCGUCACCUCCUUCUGGUGGCCACGAGGAGCGUGGCAUGUCGCGUCAGUCUAUUGGCAGUUCACUAAUCCAUUCUGGAUACGAUUCGCCAAACUUCUUUGCACCAGGCUUCAAAGAACUGGAAUCACUGCUGAAGAUUGCAAGGACAGAGUGGAUUACUACCAUUCAAAAUACAUUGACUAUAAGGGAGUUGCUCCACGUGGGGACGAGGACAGAAAGAUUUUUAUUCUGUACCAACGUGACCCUGUCCCAAGAGUGCCUAGGACCCCUGCAGAUGGUGGGGCAACAGCUAAAGCCAGUUAUAGUAGUAGGUCAGUUAGUAGGGGACGGUCAGUUAGUCGUGGACGGAGCCACUCUGUUGGCUGCCCCACACACGUCUGCCCCUCAACAAGCUAUGUCCCUGUGAGAUCUGAUUCUCAGUUAAAGUUAAUGUUAGGUGCUGCUCUCAGUGAAUUAGUGCGACACCACAACCUGCGUUUCGGAAUGACACAAGCGGUAAUGGACCAGUUUACUAACGAAACCAUGAUCCAUAUUUUUCUAGACCUUAGUUCUGAGCGGCAGAUGGCUGAAAUUGUUUCUAUGCUUGGCCCUGAUGUCUUGUCUGAGUAACCCCCUGCGUAAUGGAGGUGAUGGAGGAGUUGUUCAUGUUUUCAGUUGGUUGGUGAUUUGAGGUUUGGUGCUCCGUCAGUGAUAUUUUCUGAUGUAAUUGGAUUGUUGAUUGUCUGAUGUAAUUGGAUUGUUGAUUGUGCCGAUAAGGGGUUGUUCUGCCCUUGGCCUAAGUGUAAUUUUAAUUAAUCACUCCUAAGAGGAGGAGUACUUCUGUCGUUGACCUAAAUGUAACUUUUAAUUAAUCACUUCUUAUCGUAGGAGUACUCUUAACUUUUAUUUAUGUUUGAAGGAUGUAAUUGGAUUGUUGAUUGUGCCGAUAAGGGUUUUUCUGCCCUUGGCCUAAGUGUAAUCUCAAUUAAUCACUCCUAAGAGGAGGAGUACUUCUGUCGUUGACCUAAAUGUAACUUUUAAUUAAUCACUUCUUAUCGUA
Molecule: long non-coding RNA, 1366 nt
Organism: Spinacia oleracea (spinach)
Lineage: Eukaryota; Viridiplantae; Streptophyta; Magnoliopsida; Caryophyllales; Amaranthaceae
Exons: 6
Source: RefSeq, a predicted model, not a curated record